UUUUUUGAUAUUCCAUCAUUUAGAAAUUUGAAAUUUAAAUGAAUUGAUACUAUACAAAAUCUUAAUUCUGUUUUACACCUAUAUGAUAUUUACUUCUGUAAUUCCUGAUGUUUAAAACCGCUGUUUUGCAGAACUUUAAUUCAGAAGGAGGUCCCUGGUGAAUCCUAUUUUAAUCUCUGAUGUAAAUUAACAGAAGCAAAUCAGCCUUUUCAAAAUGAUUCUGAAAAGCAAAAUACAUUUCAUUUACCUAAAUAAAUAGUAACUCGGAAGGUAUGCCGUCUGAGCGGUGUUACACUAUCUCUAAAAUUUUAAUACUUCCUGUAGCUCAUAUUGCUCUUAAUAUGUAUCAUAUUUGGAGAGGUGAGAGUUUACCUGUUUUAAUAAUUCUGAUUCUUUCAUUCUGACCUUAUUCUAUUCUUAUUAAAUGCAUCACCUUAACAGCCAAUUACUAAGUCUUAAAAAUCUACUACUGUUGUAAAAUCGGUGCACAAAAAGAUUUUGCAAACUCAAAUUUUAAGUAAUUUGAUAAGUUAGUUCUUCAUCACAUUCCUUAUAAUGCUUUAAUCUAUUUGUAAAAACUUUCUAUUUUCUGCUUAAGAGAAGGUCAAUGGCUUUCACUUCACUACUCUAACAUAAUCAUGAAUUGAAAUAAGAACUCUUAGCUCUUUGGACUGACAAAGCUACCAGUAUGUCUAAGCCAAUAAAGUGAUUCGUUCAUUAAUGCUGCUAAUAAAGCAACCUUUUGUUAGUCUAUGAAACAUCAGAAACCUCAGAGACUCUAACUUUGCAAUUUUCCCCUGUUUUUGCCAUACGAACUUGAAAGUUCUCUUACAUGUCAUUUACUUUAACAACUAAAAACAUAAUCAUUCUAGAAAUUUGACCUUCCACUCAAGGUAAUUUAAUAAUAUAUUAGUUCCAACUUCAGAAAACUGUUCCUAGAUGAAACUAUUCAUAUUUAAUAAAUAUUCUGUUUUCACAGAGCCAACUUUUGUAGAAAUCUGUGCCAUCUUCUAAACGAACCAACUAAAGGAACAACCCCAAUAAGAGUCUCAAAAUGAAGGACAGAAAUGUUCAUUUACUCAAUCAACAUUAAUCGAUCAACUACAGAAAGCAAGGCCCAUGUGCUACUGCAAAGAUUAAUACUCAAUUCCUGCCCUUGAGCAACUCACUUUAAGGAAGAAGACAAGAUCUAAAAAGAUUACUAUAACGUAGCUUAUAAUAGUUUCAACUACUAAAUAUAAUAGUUAGCUUGAAGGAUAUAAUUAAUUGAGUUUAAACAAGACAAAAAGCCUCCAAUGAGGAGAAUCUUGAGGCUAAAUAAAGGGAAGUGUAUCUUAGGCUUACUGAAUAACUUCUAUAGAAAAACAGACACACAGAAGACCACAGUAUAUUCAGAAAUUUUUAAUUAAUUUAGGAAGGCUAGACUGUAUCACACAUGUAGGGAAUCAGUAGGAAAUGUCUGUCAGUUCUUGAAGGGCCACCAAGUUUGUGUUGCUCCAGAAUUUGGAUUUUAUUCUAUGUGGUGAAUACCAUUAAAAGAUGUAUGGUGCUCAAGUUUUGUUUUGUUUUGUUUUGUUUUAGAAAGGUUACUCCUGAGAUACCAGAAUGCCCAAAAGCUUCUACUUUCAAUUAACUUCUGAAUACAAAAUGCUUUGGGCAUGCAGGUCACCCCAGAAAUACAGGUAUGCUAGGCUUUCAAAUAUGAUUCACACUCAGUAUAAUUACAUAUCUAUUAUGUACUGCUAAUUUAACUUCAGUGUUUUUAAAUUAAUUGUUAAAGAGAUAUAUCCAUCAAUAAAUAAAAUAUCAGUUCUAAUAAUAGGCACUUUAAAACCCCUUCAAAGCAUUAGAAAAACAGUUUUUAUGUAGUAUAAAGUCAUACUGUUGAUUAAUUUUAUGAGUUGCAAUUAAAGUCAACAGAUUGCAUUGAAAAUUUGUAAAAUAAGUCACAGAAUUUAGCCCACUGUAAUCUUUAGCGUAAACAUCCAAGGUACUGUCUUCUCCCUGGCACCCUUGCUUUCUGCCAAGCACCAGCACUUCUCCCCACUACCCUCCUUUCACACAUCCCACAUCCCUUGGGAACACAGUGUUCUCACAUGACCCAGGACCAUAGUGAAUUAGUCCAACGUGACCAGGCCAUAGAGUCUAUUAAUGUUUUAACUUAGGGCUCAAAAAUUAAUCACAACCUCUCUAGAUGCUGAUUAUUCUAAGAUAAAUAAUUCAUAUUGGCUCCUUCUUCAGGUUUCUCAUCAUAUGGAAAAACCAGUCCACACUGAGAAAUAUGAAAGGAGAAGUUUAUCUGCUAUAUAAUUCUGUUUAUAUUGUGCAUGUUUAAAUUUUUCCACAUUAUGUUUUUUUAUCUGAAAGUUAUGGAAACAUAAAAAGAGUGCCUAUGUUCUCACCACCAGCUUAAUAAAUAAAACCUUACCAAUAUAAUUCUCUUUCCUAUGAACCACACCCUGAGCCCAUGUUCCAUCCCCUAUCAACAACUAUCCUGAAUCCUUCUUUACUUUUAACACUUUUAAAACAGUCUCCAAAUACCAGUCUAAAUGUUGCUAUCUUGGGGAAGGUCUUUCUUGACUCAAAUUAAGUGCACUUGUUAUGUGCUUUCAUGGCUUUUAUCACAGUUAUGAUUUAUUUGCAUACUUCAUAACAAUCUCCAGUAGACUUACUGCUACCACAAAUUCAAGGAAAUCUCUGUUAAAUUCUUAGCUGACUACUAAGCUAACUGAGCAGAGACUUUAGUGGUUUCACAACAAAAAACUCAGAUUUUCCAAAAUUAGUUGAGAAAGAUCAGUUUUAAAAAAAUAACAGGAGCUCCCAUCAUGGCGCAGUGGUUAACAAAUUUGACUAGGAACCAUGAGGUUGCAGGUUCAAUCCCUGGCCUUUCUCAGUGGGUUAAAGAUCCGGCAUUGCCGUGAGCUGUGGUGUAGGGUGCAAACACGGCUCAGAUCCUGCACUGCUGUGGCUCUGGUCUACAACGUUGCCAGCCUAUGCCACAGCAACACAGGACCCGAGCUGCAUCUGCAACCUAUACCACAGCUCAUGGCAAUGCCAGAUCCUUAACCCACUGAGCGAGGCCAGGGAUCAAACUCGUGUCCUCAUAGAUACUAUGUGGGUUCC
RNAcentral lists this long non-coding RNA (3123 nucleotides) under Sus scrofa (pig). Its description in RNAcentral is "lncRNA (ENSSSCG00030012970.1)". Lineage: Eukaryota; Metazoa; Chordata; Mammalia; Artiodactyla; Suidae. The record is from RNAcentral.